GUCAACGUAGCUCAACGGUAGAGCGCCGGUCUCCAAAACCGGAUGAUGCAGGUUCGAAUCCUGCCGGUGGCG
This is a transfer RNA of 72 nucleotides. It matches the Rfam family "tRNA". Rfam says of the family: Transfer RNA (tRNA) molecules are approximately 80 nucleotides in length. Their secondary structure includes four short double-helical elements and three loops (D, anti-codon, and T loops).